RNAcentral lists this ribosomal RNA (497 nucleotides) under uncultured bacterium. RNAcentral's name for it is "partial 16S ribosomal RNA". It matches the Rfam family "Bacterial small subunit ribosomal RNA", at positions 28 to 507 of the family's 1533-position model. The record is from RNAcentral.
GAUGAACGCUGGCGGCGUGCCUAAUACAUGCAAGUCGAGCGAACAGACGAGGAGCUUGCUCCUCUGAUGUUAGCGGCGGACGGGUGAGUAACACGUGGAUAACCUACCUAUAAGACUGGGAUAACUUCGGGAAACCGGAGCUAAUACCGGAUAACAUGUUGAACCGCAUGGUUCAACAGUGAAAGACGGUCUUGCUGUCACUUAUAGAUGGAUCCGCGCCGCAUUAGCUAGUUGGUAAGGUAACGGCUUACCAAGGCAACGAUGCGUAGCCGACCUGAGAGGGUGAUCGGCCACACUGGAACUGAGACACGGUCCAGACUCCUACGGGAGGCAGCAGUAGGGAAUCUUCCGCAAAGGGCGAAAGCCUGACGGAGCAACGCCGCGUGAGUGAAGAAGGUCUUCGGAUCGUAAAACUCUGUUAUUAGGGAAGAACAAAUGUGUAAGUAGCUAUGCACGUCUUGACGGUACCUAAUCAGAAAGCCACGGCUAACUACGUG